This 517-nucleotide ribosomal RNA is filed under the name uncultured bacterium. Its description in RNAcentral is "bacterial SSU rRNA". It matches the Rfam family "Bacterial small subunit ribosomal RNA", at positions 9 to 507 of the family's 1533-position model. The record is from RNAcentral.
CGAGUUUGAUCAUGGCUACGAGGACAACGCUGGCGGCGUGCCUAACACAUGCAAGUCGAACGGAGUUAAACGCUGAAAUUGAGAUUAGCUUGCUAAAGGAUUUUUCUUGUUUAACUUAGUGGCGGACGGGUGAGUAACGCGUGAGCAACCUGCCUUACAGAGGGGGACAACAGUUGGAAACGACUGCUAAUACCGCAUAAUGUGGAGAGAGGACAUCCUCUUUUCACCAAAGGAGCAAUCCGCUGUAAGAUGGGCUCGCGUCCGAUUAGAUAGUUGGUGGGGUAACGGCCUACCAAGUCGACGAUCGGUAGCCGGACUGAGAGGUUGAACGGCCACAUUGGGACUGAGACACGGCCCAGACUCCUACGGGAGGCAGCAGUGGGGGAUAUUGCACAAUGGAGGAAACUCUGAUGCAGCAACGCCGCGUGAGGGAAGAAGGUUUUCGGAUUGUAAACCUCUGUUUUUAGUGAAGAAACAAAUGACGGUAGCUAAAGAGGAAGCCACGGCUAACUACGUG